Molecule: ribosomal RNA, 247 nt
Filed under: uncultured bacterium
Lineage: Bacteria
Description: partial 16S ribosomal RNA
Rfam family: Bacterial small subunit ribosomal RNA
Source: RNAcentral
CGAGUGGCGGACGGGUGGAGUAAAGCUUGGGGAAUCUGGUCUUAUGGAAGGGGGGAGUAACUACGGGAAACUGUAGCUAAUACCGCGUAAACAUCUUCGGAUUAAAGUGUGGGGCUCUUCGGACCACACGCCAUAAGUUGAGCCCAAGUGGGAUUAGGUAGUUGGUGGGGUAAAGGCCUACCAAGCUGACGAUCUCUAGCUGGUCUGAGAGGAUGACCAGCCACACUGGAACUGAGACACGGUCCAG